UAGAUCCUUGCAAAGACGAGCAGUGGGGCCAACUCUCACCCUUUGGUUGGGUCCCGAUUCCUUUUCAGCUCCCUUGAGCCCAGGCAGCAAGUCCAGAACUCCAGUAGAACCUCAGCUCUGAUGGCGUCUCAGCACAUCUAUCCCUCUUCCGGCUCAUCUCAGUAGGUGGAGUGGAAUUAAGAACAUGGCCUGCUCCACCCCAACAUUAGGCACCAGCUGUUUUGUACUGUCCAUCCUGUCGACGCUUAUUAAUGAUUCUGAUCAACCUCUAUGGAGAUCCAUUAUCUCUAAACCAGGGAAUGUACUAUUAAUUCCCAUCUGUGCCGGAUUACUUACAGUUAGUGGUUGGUAGUUUUCCAUGGUCUCACAACACAUCUUAAUCAGAUGGCCCUGGGAUAGACUCGUGUACCCUGUGUGUUCUCCAUACACAUGCAGCAAAUUAAACACAGAGUUAAGAUGGUGCAGGAAACCUGGACGCUUGCAGGGAGAGUCAUUUGUCUUCAACGUGAGGAUGAAUCUGAAGCUCUCCCUGCAGAAUGUGGGAUCCACUUUCAAAUCUGGACAGAGGCUUUCAUCCAACCUGCAGAAGAUCCUGGCAGUUCCCAUUUAGAACUGUGGAAAUCAAAUGAUUGGUAAGCCUGAACUGCCUUCUGUGGCCCAGAGUUGGAGAUGACUGCAAACUCCAUUCCUCAAACCAUCACCACCCAACCCACGUCUCCACCCCUGCUAGAAAGAAGUCAGCACCUCAGAAAAGGUAAAUGGUGGCAGAAAGACCCUCUGGCAGGAUCAUGGGCAAAGUGACAGCCCCUCCCAAUUCGCUGGCUUCACUCCAGAAUGACUCACUAUUCCAACUUCAGGCACUUUCUCUUUCUUUGAUGUUGCUGUUCCUGGCAUCUUCAGCAAGGAGACUGGGGAAGUAGGCUAGAAUAUUAA
Gorilla gorilla gorilla (western lowland gorilla) is the source of this 933-nucleotide long non-coding RNA. RefSeq lists it as uncharacterized. The transcript is spliced from 3 exons. Lineage: Eukaryota; Metazoa; Chordata; Mammalia; Primates; Hominidae. The record is from RefSeq and is a predicted model, not a curated record.